AUACUGAAUUAACUCUCUGACUAUUUAUACUGAAUUAACUCUCUCUCUCUGACUAUUUAUACUGAAUUAACUCCCUCUCUGACUAUUUAUACUGAAUUAACUCUCUACGACUAUUUAUACUGAAUUAACUCCCUCUCUCUGACUAUUUAUACUGAAUUAACUCUCUCUGUCUUUCCCUAUUGUUUGUGUGUGUGCUUACCUGCUUGCGUCCGUCCGUGUGUGUGUGUGUGUGUGUGUGUGUAGGUGAUCUGGAGGGCAACGUGGACUCGUGUCAGGGUGAUUCUGGAGGUCCUCUGGUGUGCCAGGACUCUCUAGGUGUUUCCUACCUCUGGGGUAUAGUCUCCUGGGGGGAGAAGUGUGGGCAGGCCAAGUUCCCUGGAGUGUACACUCAAGUGGCACACUACUUUGACUGGAUCCGCACUCACACUGGCUGGGCUGCCGUCACUAAAUACAACCUGUGACGUUGAUAUAGACCAGGAGGUAUUUUCAAAUGGUACCGUUCCGUCUCUGGACUACUGCUGCUUUUCUGUUGUACCUAAUAAUCAAUACCACCCCACCUGGUGUCCCAGGUCUAAAUCAGUCCCUGAUCAUUAAUAUCACCCCACUUGGUGUCCCAGGUCUAAAUCAGGCCCUGAUCAUUAAUAUCACCCCACCUAGUGUCCCAGGUCUAAAUCAGUCCCUGAUCAUUAAUAUCACCCACCUGGUGUCCCAGGUCUAAAUCAGGCCCUGAUCAUUAAUAUCACCCCACCUGGUGUCCCAGGUCUAAAUCAGGCCCUGAUCCUUAAUAUCACCCCACCUGGUGUCCCAGGUCUAAAUCAGGCCCUGAUCAUUAAUAUCACCCCACCUGGUGUCCCAGGUCUAAAUCAGGCCCUGAUCCUUAAUAUCACCCCACCUGGUGUCCCAGGUCUAAAUCAGGCCCUGAUCCUUAAUAUCACCCCACCUAGUGUCCCAGGUCUAAAUCAGGCCCUGAUCCUUAAUAUCACCCCACUUGGUGUCCCAGGUCUAAAUCAGGCCCUGAUCAUUAAUAUCACCCCACCUGGUGUCCCAGGUCUAAAUCAGGCCCUUAUCAUUAAUAUCACCCCACCUGGUGUCCCAGGUUUAAAUCAGGCCCUGAUCAUUAAUAUCACCCUAUCUGGUGUCCCAGGUCUAAAUCAGUCCCUGAUCAUUAAUAUCACCCCACCUGGUGUCCCAGGUCUAAAUCAGUCCCUGAUUAGAGGGGAACAAUGGGGAAAAAGCAGUUGAACUGGCGUCGAGGUCCAGAUUUGAAUUUGAGCGAUAUAGCCUAUUCAUACAUAAUAAAGAGUAAUAAAUCGUUAUUACAAUGUUAUACGUUGUUUAUGCUGAAUGAUGUCAAUAAAGAACUUGAGAACCCA
Molecule: long non-coding RNA, 1373 nt
Organism: Salvelinus fontinalis (brook trout)
Lineage: Eukaryota; Metazoa; Chordata; Actinopteri; Salmoniformes; Salmonidae
Exons: 2
Source: RefSeq, a predicted model, not a curated record